UACGUAGGGGCGAGCGUUGUCCGGAAUGACUGGGCGUAAAGGGCGUGUAGGCGGCCUGUUAAGUCUGGAGUGAAAGUCCUGCUUUCAAGGUGGGAAUUGCUUUGGAGACUGGCGGGCUUGAGUGCGGAAGAGGUAAGUGGAAUUCCCAGUGUAGCGGUGAAAUGCGUAGAGAUUGGGAGGAACACCAGUGGCGAAGGCGACUUACUGGGCCGUAACUGACGCUGAGGCGCGAAAGCGUGGGGAGCGAACAGGAUUAGAUACCCUGGUAGUCCCUGA
This 276-nucleotide ribosomal RNA is filed under the name uncultured prokaryote. Its description in RNAcentral is "partial 16S ribosomal RNA". It matches the Rfam family "Bacterial small subunit ribosomal RNA", at positions 524 to 800 of the family's 1533-position model. The record is from RNAcentral.